ACAGAGGUCUCAAGCGUUGUUCGGAUUUACUGGGCGUAAAGGGUGCGUAGGAGGCCCGUUGUGUCAGCUGUGAAAUGCCGGGGCUCAACCCCGGCAAUGCAGAUGAAACUGGCGGGCUGGAGGGCCGGAGAGGUAGCUGGAAUUCCCGGUGUAGCGGUGGAAUGCGUAGAGAUCGGGAGGAACACCGAUGGCGAAGGCAAGCGACUGGAAGAUAACUGACUCUGAGGUACGAAAGCGUGGGGAGCAAACAG
RNAcentral lists this ribosomal RNA (251 nucleotides) under uncultured prokaryote. Its description in RNAcentral is "partial 16S rRNA". It matches the Rfam family "Bacterial small subunit ribosomal RNA", at positions 525 to 775 of the family's 1533-position model. The record is from RNAcentral.